UGCCUGUAAUUUGUGCCAAAUGAAAUAAUAAAUAGAAUUGAAAUAGUAAAAAAUGAAGUCAGAACCUAAAUAAAAGUCUCAAGACCUUUUUGAGAUAGAGUAGUUAAAAAUUAUCUUUUUUUGCAUUUGAUGAAUCGACUUAUCAGGCGAAAGUCAAAACAACACUGAGAAGUAACAUUAUCUUCACUGACACAGUGUCAAUGAUUACUGCUCACUUUAUAUCAAUACACUGCAACAUAAAAAUAACCAGACUGCGCAGAUUUCUACAGAUCAACAUGGAUGCUCUGCUCAUGAAGAAGCUAAAUUGCUUCUGACAGGUUCCUAGUGAUACCACAUAGAACAUUUGCAGGCAGACUGCUAAACACAUACAGGGGAAAAAAAAAAAAAGCUGAACUCACCUAUCUGGAGGGGCUCUCCAGCAAUACAGCACUCCUUCCUAAGAAGCAGCGUAGGCCCAAAAGAUCCCCUCCCUUCAGCAGCUGGCCCUUAUGUGAACCCAGGGCAGCUCCACUCUGGGUCUGACCCUUCCAGUCACACAGUGAGCACAGGUGCAAACAAUGUGCCUGUAUACCGGUUCCCGCUGAGGCCUAGCAGCUCCUUUACACGUGGAUCAAGUUUUCACACAGGAGCUGAAGAAGGAUGAUCAUGUUCUUAGUACCUAGUUUCCCUCCCCACCUCCUUUUUUUCCUUCUCUUCUACUUUUUUUUCUUAAUUGAGCCCACUUUAAAGGAUAAGACAAUGAGUCAAACUGUAGUGGAGAUCCUAUGUCGCAGCUUAAACCAGUGAUUGAGCACCUGGUGGAAAGGAAGGGCCAAACCAGCAUGCACCUGACUGACUGGAAGGGGGUGGAGCCAGGAUCCACUCCUUCCCAAGACCUCAUUUAGGAGUUGGCAGUGGAGGUAAGGGUAACUCUCUGGAAAUCUUUGUGUACCUGAGGUUUUUUGAGGGUGAGUAGUUUCUUUUCUUUAUUUCUGUGCCUAUGGUUGUUGUGUUUGAGUGAAUCCUCACUUGCUGCAGCCUGGGAUUUUGCUGCUCUGCUGAUAUUUUUGUGCUUUCUAUCGUGUUAUGCAAAGCCAAGAGUAAAUAUCAGUAAGGGGAGGAAUGUUGUGAAGAAUAGAAGAAAGAGGUAGGAUGGAAAGUAUUAUGAUGGUUUAAGUGAACCAAACAUUAGAAAUAGCUGAUUGCUAUGAAUCUCAUAAAGAAAAAGAAAGUUCAAAGUUAUAAAAUCAGGCUGGAAAAUGAAUGAGACUAAUAGAUUAUAGAAGUAAAAACUUAUACUGGAUGGAGCUAAUAUUAGUAAGGCACAGGGUAUGUGACAAAUGGGUGCUCAGGAUGUAUCGUACUUCCUGUUUUGGGCUUCUUCUGGAAGACUAAACACAGUCAAUGCUUAGUAUGUUAUUGGGUAAUUCUUUUGUGAUAAUGUGUAGAGUAAAUAAAAUCCACCCCAGAACAUACUGAAAAAUCA
Molecule: long non-coding RNA, 1465 nt
Filed under: Numida meleagris (helmeted guineafowl)
Lineage: Eukaryota; Metazoa; Chordata; Aves; Galliformes; Numididae
Description: lncRNA (ENSNMEG00000022969.1)
Source: RNAcentral